CCUACGGGCGGCUGCAGUGAGGAAUAUUGGUCAAUGGACGAGAGUCUGAACCAGCCAAGUAGCGUGAAGGAUGACUGCCCUAUGGGUUGUAAACUUCUUUUAUAAAGGAAUAAAACGAGGCACGUGUGCCUUUUUGCAUGUACUUUAUGCAUAAGGAUCGGCUAACUCCGUGCCAGCAGCCGCGGUAAUACGGAGGAUCCGAGCGUUAUGCGGAUUUAUUGGGUUUAAAGGGAGCGUAGAUGGGUUGUUAAGUCAGUUGUGAAAGUUUGCGGCUCAACCGUAAAAUUGCAAUUGAUACUGGCAGUCUUGAGUACAGUUGAGGUAGGCGGAAUUCGUGGUGUAGCGGUGAAAUGCUUAGAUAUAACGAAGAACCCCGAUUGCGAAGGCAGCUUACUAAACUGUGACUGACAUUGAUGCUCGAAAGUGUGGGGAUCAAACAGGAUUAGAUACCCUAGUAGUC
RNAcentral lists this ribosomal RNA (460 nucleotides) under uncultured bacterium. RNAcentral describes it as "partial 16S ribosomal RNA". It matches the Rfam family "Bacterial small subunit ribosomal RNA", at positions 338 to 795 of the family's 1533-position model. The record is from RNAcentral.